AGUGAACGCUGGCGGUAGGCCUAACACAUGCAAGUCGAACGGCAGCACAGUAAGAGCUUGCUCUUACGGGUGGCGAGUGGCGGACGGGUGAGGAAUACAUCGGAAUCUACUUUUUCGUGGGGGAUAACGUAGGGAAACUUACGCUAAUACCGCAUACGACCUACGGGUGAAAGCAGGGGAUCUUCGGACCUUGCGCGAUUGAAUGAGCCGAUGUCGGAUUAGCUAGUUGGCGGGGUAAAGCCCCACCAAGGCGACGAUCCGUAGCUGGUCUGAGAGGAUGAUCAGCCACACUGGAACUGAGACACGGUCCAGACUCCUACGGGAGGCAGCAGUGGGGAAUAUUGGACAAUGGGCGCAAGCCUGAUCCAGCUAUACCGCGUGGGUGAAGAAGGCCUUCGGGUUGUAAAGCCCUUUUGUUGGGAAAGAAAAGCAGCAGGUUAAUACCCCGCUGUUCUGACGGUACCCAAAGAAUAAGCACCGGCUAACUUCGUG
RNAcentral lists this ribosomal RNA (492 nucleotides) under uncultured bacterium. RNAcentral's name for it is "partial 16S ribosomal RNA". It matches the Rfam family "Bacterial small subunit ribosomal RNA", at positions 29 to 507 of the family's 1533-position model. The record is from RNAcentral.